UGACUAGUUUGUUUGGGCAGUUUAUCAUAAACUACCAUAUGAACAAAUUGGACUGCAACUUAUCUGAGUUGGUCAAUAUGUUAGUCAUUGCUGAGAGAAUCUUGAAAGAUUCAAAGCACUCUAUCCUGGAGAGCCUAAAGAAAAAGGAUGAAGCAUCUUGUAAAGGAAUGCUCAUAAUAGAAUCUAACCUAAUAGUUUUUUCUACUUCUAGUUGGGUAUUGGACUCUACUUCGAGUGCACACAUAUGUACUUUAAUGCAGGGUCUAAUAG
Molecule: long non-coding RNA, 270 nt
Filed under: Elaeis guineensis (African oil palm)
Lineage: Eukaryota; Viridiplantae; Streptophyta; Magnoliopsida; Arecales; Arecaceae
Description: long non-coding RNA (EGUI_LNC043949)
Source: RNAcentral